Long non-coding RNA from Sceloporus undulatus (fence lizard), 4752 nucleotides. RefSeq lists it as uncharacterized. The transcript has 3 exons. The record is from RefSeq and is a predicted model, not a curated record. NCBI's taxonomy places the organism in Eukaryota, Metazoa, Chordata, Lepidosauria, Squamata, Phrynosomatidae.
GAUCUCUCUACAUGCUAUAUCAUGCACUGUUAUUCUGAAAUGAGCAAUGCCAAAGGCAUGCUCUAAAUUCUUUGGUUGUUUGUUGUUGUGUGCCUUCAAGCCAUUUCUGACUGACCCUAAGGUGGCCCUAUCAUAGAGUUUUCUUGGCAGAAUUUGUACAGAGGGAGAUUUCCCUUGCCUUUGAGGCUGAGAGAGUGUGACUUGCCCAAGGUCACCCAAUAGGUUUCAAUGGCUGAGUGUCCUAGUCCAACAUUCAAACCACUAUGCUAUGCUUAUUUUUAGGGGACCUACCGUAAAUAUCCUAAGAGAGCCAGCAUGGCAUAGUGGUUUGAAUAUUGCACUACGACCCUGGAAACCAGGGUUUGAUUCCUUUAGCCAUAAAACCCACCAGGCGACCUUGGUUAAUUCACAUCCCAGAAACAGGUUUAAAACUAGACCAUGGAAACAGUUGGGUUUUUGUUUGCUUGUUUGGUUGGUUUUUUGGUCUACAGCUAAUAAUACAGCAGUAAUUCCCAAUCUAAUCCUCAGCCAUUUUAGCCAAUGGUCUGGGAUUCUGGGAGCUGAAAUCCAAAACAGCUGGAGGACCAUACUUUGGGAAUCACUGUAAUAGAGUAUUGCUGGUGGGGGAUUUUGGGAGUUGGAGUACAUAUAGGGAACACUGCCAUGCUCUUGUUAAAACUGCACUCCGGAAGUGAUAAAUAGCAUUGAGAUCUUGACUAUUUAACAAAAAGUCAGAACAGUACUAUGUGUGUUUGCGCAUGCGCACGCAUAUGUGUGUGUGCAUACAUGUGUGCCUUCUUUUCGCCUGUUGAUUUAUGGCAAUCCCAUUAAUUUUACAUUAAUUUUUCUUAGGCAAGGAGUACUCAGAGGUGGCUUUGUCAGUUCCUUCCUCUGAAAUAUAGCCCACAGCACCUGGUAUUCAUUGGUGGUGUCCCAUCCAAGUACUAACAGGGGUGAUUCUACUUAGCUUCCAAGAUCAGAUGGGAUUUGGUGCCCCAAUGGUAUUUAGGCUACUAAAUUAUAAUUAAUUAGAAAAAUCCUUUCUGUCAACAAAGGAUUGACUGGGAUAAUAAAUUCUUCUCACAUUACACAUGUUAAUUGGUUUGGAGUCUAGAAGCCAAAACCCAAUUGCUAGUCCCAGCUGAAAUAAACUUAUGGAAUCAAUGAGAAUUUACUAUGUUUACACUGGUCUAAAGUAUGUUGAUUUGGCGAGUCUAAUCUAGUUAGAGGCUUGCAGUUGAAUUUAGGUCACUUUUUUUUUAUAAUCAACAACAAUUUGGUGGAUGCCCAAUGUUAAUAAUAUUAUUGUCACUGCCAGGGGUGUAGUUUCUCAACUAUUUCAUCCUGAUGUGUAAGGAUGAAUAAUUUUCACUCUGGGGUCAGUAAAAAUGAAUAUUCCACCACAAUAUUCUCCUCAUAUUUGACUAUCCAAACUGUUGCACAGGAAUUAUUAUUCCAGGAGGGGGGUAUGUACAAAAAAAGUCCUCAUGUUCUAUGCAGAAAAGUGGGUUUCUUACACAGGAAACAGUGUUUUUCUGUGUAGAAAACCCCUUUUCUGUGCAUGUUUUUGUACAAAAAAACCCCCACAUGUUUUUCUCAGCAGACUAAUUCCUGUGCACCACUUGGGGGCAUUGAAUACUAGGAGAAAACUGUGCAACGUUCUUUCCUAUUCUAUUCUUCCUGUUUUUCAACUUGGAAAUGGAAUGGAUAAUCUUGAAUAUUUUUUCCAUCCCUACUGUCAGCCCCUUUUACAUGUAAUUUCUUUGACCUCACUGUCUAUAAGCUCAGCCCCAACCUUUGCACUUUAUAUAUGCCUGUAAUUCUGGAUAACAUUUUUUUUCCUGUCCAGAAGAUCCAUGAAACCUCAGUACAAUAAAUCUGUAAAACUCAAGGGCUUCACAUGACUCUGUGGUUUCUAAUUUAUGUAUCACUUUCCUCUAACAGAUAUGCUCAAAACAGCUCACUGGGGACCAAACACAUAUGUGCACACAUGUGUAUGCACAAACACAUGCUCUUCACUCUCCUUAAAACAUGUAGGAUCACCCAUUGUCAUUAUGAUGGCACCUCAGCUAGCAUGGGGGUCCUGAAACCAAACCCCAGCAGAUACCAAGGGCUCACUGCAUCAUCAUCAUCAUCAUCAUCAUCAUCAUCAUCAUCAUCAUCCCCGACAUUUUGUUGGCUGACAUCACUUGCUUCUACUGAGAAGAAACCAAAAAAGCCCCAAACUGAAACUCCCAGAGAUCAAAGGGCUGGCUGGAACCCAAGGCGCUGUGAAGAGCUGGCCUGCGGCAAGCUACGUUUGGCAUGGCUCAGCCCCUAUGGAGCCACCCACCACCACAAGCUUGACUUUGGAGGAGGCCUUUGAAACCCCAGCCAAGGAUGGGGAGGGGAAGGGCAAAUCACAGUGGCAUCUCUGGACACACAGCACCCCACUUACUAAAUGCCUGGUGGCAGCAGUGCCUGUCAUGCCUCAUCAACUUCUUACGUCCAUAAUUUAUAUUCUCAUCUAAUGGGUCACAAGUACUUUGGACCAAUCUCCUGAGGGUUGACCCUGCUGUUAAGCAGAGUGAGGCAACUGCAUCUGGCAGUGGAUUGUUGGGGGAACCAGCAUUGGCAGCCUCCUGGAUAUUCCUCCUGAACUCCCCAUCUCUUCCUCUGUUUUGGAGUACAGAGCUGUGUGUGCCACACAAUCUGCUUGAAGCUCCUGAAAUAAGUUACUGUCUUAGGUGCAGACCUGAGAUUUCCAUAGCUUCCAACUGUUCUGAUUUGGAAGAGACAGUCCUAAAUGAUCCUCUGCCCCCCCCCCCCCCUUUUCAGCUGCUUUUAAAAUGUCCAUCUGUCUCUCUCCUCCUCCCACUUUCCCCCUUUGUCAUCAUCUCACUUCAGUUGUGGCAAAUUGAGUUUAAUGUUCAAAAGUAGUUUGACUCAAUAGACUCAACAGGAGGGAGGGGAAAGAAGGGGAUUGGAUCUUGUUCUUCCCAACAGGCUCAGGCAAAAGUAAACUGUUGCAGCCUCUCCUAAUUUGAGUGCUGUUCCUCAUUCAUAAAUUUUGACAUUGUAAACAUACUGAUGCUCCUUGGUCACACGUUUAAUGGAUUUCAUCCAUAAAAUGCUGGAGGGAAUGGAUUUAGGGGCCAAAACUUUAGGCCUGCUAAUGUCAUCUGUUGGUGUCAUGGGAGUGGGCCAUGGUGAUAUCCUCAAGCAGGAUACAUUAAGCAUCAACCACAGAUCCUCACGGCAUAUCAUUCAAACAAUAACCAAGAGAAAACAUUCAUCUGUUUGAAAAUUAAAAUUUGCAAGUUCUGUGUUGAACAUGGAAGAACCCUCACUUUCCCCUGCUUUGUUGUUAACAGAUGGGGAUUGUAGCUCAGCCAAAAACAGUGAGGGAGAUAAAAAAUUUCAAGACCAUGUUCUCACGCUGAGAUUCCUCCUCCUUGCCCUGGGGGACCAGGAAAUUGUGAAGAAAACCUGGAAAAUAUAUUUUUUUUCCAAACUCUGGGUGAUCGGCAUUGAAAAGAGCAUAAAAUAACAGGGAUUAUGAAUUGCAGAUCAGGAAAGUGAUGAGAUACAAGUAAUGUAACCACUUGUCACUAGUUUUGUUCUACCUUUUUUCUCUUUUCUUUUCUUUUCUUUUCAUUUCAUUUUUUUUUUUGGCAAGGGCACAUUUGAAAAUCAAUGUAAUGAAUAAGAAUAGAGCUACUUAAUUGGUGCAAUGAAUAACAUUUCCUAGUUAUUUGCAAAUGUUAUAUUUAAAGCCCAUUCUUACAGAUCCUUAACAGGAAGUUACUGUGUUUUUAUACCAUGGAAAAAUAAUGAGUAGUGCAAAAAGGAACACAACAAUCUACUUUUUCAACACCGAAAUGUACAACAGUGACUUACUGUUCAAACACAUAAGGAGAACUGGGGACAAACUAUUUUUUAAAAGGAAAUUUCCAAUUUCUGAUAAGCUGGCAGAUGCAUUGGAAGCAGGAAAUGUGUGACCUGGCAAAUGUUUUUGGAGGUCUGGCAUGCAGAGAAGAGGCCAUGGCCAGCUAGUGACUGUGUGGGCAGAUGUGGUAGAAAGGGAGGAUUUUGGCAGACAAGAUGCAGAAGAGUGGUGCACUGAGGCUGGGUGACAACGGUAUUUUUGGAAGCUAGUCACUGUUUCUAUCAUUGCAGCAGGGAUGUAAAAAUUUCUCUGUCUCAACAAUUUGGCAUUUUCCUGAAUCUUGCUUUUAUUACUCCCCCCCCAUUCCCCCCUGCUUCUUGUUUCAUAUUAGGCUGAGAUUUCAUUUUUAUUCUUACAUCGAAAUUAAUGCCUACUUUGGUUUGUUUUUUUCCCAUUGACCAUAAAGCACAAUUGUGUGCAUUAAAAAUAAUGAACAGUACAAGUUGAGCAAAUUUAUUUGGACAAGGUUCAGAAAGGAAAAGUGUAUGGUGUAGUUUUUUAUUCUGCUUCUUCAUUUGUUUGUGUGUGGAGGGUGGGCCACAAAUCUCUUUGAGAAUCUGAUGAAAGCUAUAAGAAAAUACAGUUUUCAAUCUAAAAGGUAGUGAAUCUAAGGGAAAAAAUAAGUCUACUAGAAAGCUGGAGAAAUGCUAGAGAAAAGACAAAUUUUUUUUACCUUAUCUCAAAAUUUGAAAGAAAACUUUUGGAAAAUGGAGAACCGGUGGUACCUCACCCCGAACAGACUGGCCUUGAUCGAUAAAAAGAAAUCAAAUUCUUGUUGGAAAUGCCAAGAAGCAAGAGGCACCUGGUUCCACGUGUGGUGGCGA